CGGAGGGUGCAAGCGUUGUCCGGAUUUAUUGGGUUUAAAGGGUGCGUAGGCGGCUGAUUAAGUCUGGGGUGAAAGCCCGUUGCUCAACAACGGAACUGCCCUGGAAACUGGUUAGCUUGAGUACAGACGAGGGUGGCGGAAUGGAUGCUGUAGCGGUGAAAUGCAUAGAUAGCAUCCAGAACCCCGAUUGCGAAGGCAGCUGCCUAGACUGUAACUGACGCUGAGGCACGAAAGCGUGGGGAGCGAACAGGAUU
RNAcentral lists this ribosomal RNA (254 nucleotides) under uncultured bacterium. RNAcentral's name for it is "partial 16S ribosomal RNA". It matches the Rfam family "Bacterial small subunit ribosomal RNA", at positions 526 to 779 of the family's 1533-position model. The record is from RNAcentral.